AUGUCUCCUAAACCCAAACUGGUGAGAAGGAAUGGCAUUUUCAAAUUCCCUGCAUUCAAACAUUCGUUUCAUUAGCAGCGUUUCAAAAAGCUUUGAGAAGCCAGCCAAGAGGCUAAUUGGUCGCACAUUUCCAUUGUUUGGGAAAAUGGCCGUGUCUAAGUAUCGAGUUAUAAAUGUAUGUCAAGUAAA
Long non-coding RNA from Drosophila guanche, 189 nucleotides. RefSeq lists it as uncharacterized. NCBI's taxonomy places the organism in Eukaryota, Metazoa, Arthropoda, Insecta, Diptera, Drosophilidae. The transcript has 2 exons. The record is from RefSeq and is a predicted model, not a curated record.